Molecule: long non-coding RNA, 3920 nt
Organism: Equus asinus (donkey)
Lineage: Eukaryota; Metazoa; Chordata; Mammalia; Perissodactyla; Equidae
Source: Ensembl
GGAAGUCUCACUGAGGAAAGGACGCUUUGCCUCAGACCGGGACAAUCGGUAACUCCCGCCUGCUGUACAAAGUAUUGGGACUUCCCUGGCUGAUUGUGGUGUGGAUGUUAUCCACUUACCACUCUUCUUCAGCCUGAGUAUCAUCUACUAACUGCAUAUACUCAAUAUCUCCAUCUUCAGCUGACUCUGUGUGGCAAUAGGUAACCUGUGUGCACUGCUCUGGAGGAUUAACUUUGCCCCCAGGCUUCUGAGAGGGCUCAGUCACUGGAAGAUGCCAGCUGUUCAGAGUUCUGGAAUAUGAGGGGAAACCACGAGUUCUGCUACUGAGAGCGUUGCCACGGACCCGCACUAAUAAGGAAGAUGAUGAGAAACCGGUGGUUUCCGUGCAGCUGACGCGGGUGCCACGGAAAACGACUGACACGGCGCAAGUGGCAGGGCGGUCGGCGGGAAAGCGCCAACGCCGGGUGUGCGACCGACCAAGACACAUCCCUUUCGGCCAAAGGAUAGGUAGUCCUUGGGAAACACUUGCUGGUAGAUGGAGAAAACCCCCGCCCCCGCCCCCAUGUGUGGAGCGCCAAUCAGAGACGCAAUCACAAAACUCUGUCCCAGAGAGCUCACAGUGCUGGGAUCCAGCAAGCGCCCACGGGAAGCAACCUUAGCCGUGCUGCCACCCAGAAACAUCCGGCUACAUAAAACUAGCGGGACUACCAUCGACGAAUUACAGGCUGGGCGAAAAUAGCGGAUAGUUUUUGAUUUCCCGGGCUCAUGGGCAAACAAGGAAACUGCAAGUAACAAGCGACCGCACACUGCAAGGAGAAACUUCGGGAGAAAGAGAAAAAUUUGCAAUGCACACCGAAGACACAUCUUAAUGCAUUUUUUAAAAAGAUUUUAUUUUUUCCUUUUUCUCCCCAAAGCCCCCCGGUACAUAGUUGUGUAUUCUUCGUUGUGAGUCCUUCUAGUUGUGGCAUGUGGGACGCUGCCUCAGCGUGGUUUGAUGAGCAGUGCCGUGUCCGCGCCCAGGAUUCCAACCAACGAAGCACUGGGCCGCCUGCAGCGGAGCGCGCGAACUUAACCACUCGGCCACGGGGCCAGCCCCCUUAAUGCAUUUUUUAAAUUCUGUAAGUGGGAAGGUUUUGGAACGGAGAAUCUUUUCCUGGGGAAAGUUUCAAAAAGACUCCCGCUGCAUCUCAGGGCUCCUCAGCGCCAAAGACCCACCGGCAGCAGCCCCAGGGCAUGGAGAACACCGCGCAAGGAAUCCUCGCCAAGCAUGCUGAGAAAACCCGGUGUUGGCUCCACCAAGCGGGGACCGGAGGUCGACUACGAUCCGAAGGGGGCUCGCUGUCACAGGUUUCUGUGUCCUGCUGUCUGUGGGCGGCAUCUUGCGGCCUGGCCCAGGGAAGCGACUGGAACGUGAGUCUGUCGGGUUCCUCUGCAGGAACCAACUCCCCUACGAUUGACUCUAACGUCUUCUGUGUGGCGGGCCAGAGGUCCGGAGUGGGCGGGGCUGGGCUUGGUUCCAAGGUGCCCUCGGAUCUGGGCAAGAGUCCGUUUUGCAGGCCAACCCUGGACAGCCGCCGGCUAGAACUAGAAAGCAGUUCCCAAUGGAAAUCACCGCCAGGGCAUAAGCACUCUUCCAGUACCGGGUAGAGGGAGCGGCCACGGCCCAGAAUCUUCGAAGCUCCGAGAGGACGGAGGCUGAGGCUCUGGCACCGCCUCUGCGGAAUCCCGAGCCUCCUUCACGGCGGCGAGAAAAUGCUGCUCCAUCGCUUAGGCCUCGGACCAGGACACAGGCGUUUGCGCUGAUCAAGGAGGCAAAGGCUUCAGCAGCACCAGCACUCCGGGUAUUUAUGCUCUCCAGGGCUCAUGGGCGGAGGGAAGGCAGCGAAUGCAAAACGGAGAUCAGUAGACAAUGAAAUACGAAAAAAAUUUAGAGAACAUAGAGAACCGACACAAGUCAUUCCGAUAUAAAGACAUAUCGAGACGAAAGCAAACGCAAUGAAACGGAACAAAAAGCAAACCGUGCAGAGAACCAACCCUACAAAACUCAGGGAGCGCUGAGCGGUGCACAGACCACGAAACCAAAUGUGGCCUCGGAGAACAAAACGGCGCAGCCGCUGGCCGCUGGGGCGCUGCGCUGGAGCGACGCUGCUGAAGAGAAACGCGAGAAACCCGUGGCGAUGCCGGCGGGGAGCAAACAGUGGUGCUGUUGCCAAAGACAAAUACUCCUUUUGGAGCGAUGAGCUGUGCUGUCAAAGAGAAACUGCCGGCUCUGAGGAGUAGUGCUGUGCCCCAGAGACAUCGGGCUUGGAGGAAUGAAAGUUGCUGCCACGGAGAAAAAAGCCCACUGACUGGGUGCAAAUGUGUUGUGACAGAAAAAGCGCCAUCUACCGCUACUAUGGAAAUUGCAAACGCGCACGGCGACUCCCUGCAAAUAUCUGAACAGGAAUCGUCAGCUGGCGCUCUGGGAGACGGAAGCGGUGCCGGAACCCAGACAGCGCAGAUCCUGCGCAGAGAGCGGGACGCGACAACUCCCACUCCGGCUGCUAGUGCGGCGAUCGCGCUGCCAGGAGCGCUGCUGCCUCUGAAACGCCUGUGACCUGGCGGAGGUAGCGGGGCACCAGGGAGAACUCUUGGCGAAAACAUCUGGGAUGAGACCGAAAAUCACCAGGAUCAAGGAAAGAAAGGAGAGGUGCGGCCGCCGAACCACACAUCCGGCCCGACCCAGAGCCGCCCGCUCCUUCCACUAGCGAUCUGAGGCCACUGAGGACCCACCGUCUCUGCUCUUAUCGCAGCCGCGGCCGAGGAAACGCUGACAGCGAGGACCUCAUGUUGCUGGGUCCCAGCGAUGCGGGCAAGGAGCACAGAGCGGUGCCGGCCCGAGAAACACCCAGCUCUGAGAACCAGCCGGUUUGGAGGAUUGAACGUGGGCUACCGAGAAAAUGCCGCUACCUGGAUGCAAAUGUGUCCUGUGGCAGGAAUCCCGCCGGCUCUGCGGACAAGCGAAGGUGCCAACGGGAACAGGAGCUCGGUGCGAGCGGCAGUGCUGGGACUGUGAGACCCUUCCAGGAAAACCAGCGACGCUGGCGCCCGGCGGUUCUAGGGGAAAUCAAAGGUGCUGCCCCCUAGAAAACGUCCAUUCUAUGCAAUUUAGGGCUCUGAUGCAAAUAAUCGAACAAAACGAAAAGGAAACAAAACACACCACAGGGCUCAGAGCUACUAGCGAAAGUGCUAAGGAUCGUCACAUGAGAAAGGAGAAAAUCCUGCCAUUUGCACCGACACAGGUGGAGACUGAGGGCAUUAUGCUAUGUUUAAUAAAUCAGAGAAAGAGAAAUACCGUGUGGUGUCUCCACAUGUGGAAUGUAAAAAGCUGCUCUCAUAGAAACAGAAGAAUGAUGGUUACCAGGGGCUGGGGGGUGGGGGAGAUGUCAGUCGAAGGGUACCAAUUUACAGGUAGAAAAUGAGUAAGUUCUGGGAUCUAAUGUACAGCAGGGUGACUGUAGUUAACAAUAAUGUUUAUACUUGAAAGUUGGUAAGAGAGUAGAUCUUAAAUGUUCUCACUAUAGAAAAGAAAUGGUAAUUAUGUAAGGUGAUUAAAGUAGCUGAUGCUAUAGGUGGCAAUCAUUUUGCAAUAUAUAAGUAGCAAAUCUACGUUUUAUACACCUUAAACUUACACAAUGUUAUAUGUCAAUUAUAUCUCAAUAAAGGUGGAAAAAAACCAACAAAAACAAAAUGAGUUUUCAUUUCCACUUUUUUUGGGGAAAGCAGCACCUCCGCCAGCAGAUGACUUUAGAAUGGCUGCGUUGAUCAAGCCUCAGGUCCAAGUGUGCAUUAGUCCCCUGCAAAUUCCAGGUUCCCCCCUAAACCCCGAUGUCACGCCAGAGCCCGGCGUACUGCUGCCCCCUAGUGGCGAGUCCACCGGC